UAGGGAAUCUUCGGCAAUGGGGGGAACCCUGACCGAGCAACUCCGCGUGAGUGAAGAAGGUUUUCGGAUCGUAAAGCUCUGUUGUUAAGGAAGAACGAGUGUGAUAAUGGAAAGUUCAUACUGUGACGGUACUUAACCAGAAAGGGACGGCUAACUACGUGCCAGCUGCCGCGGUAAUACGUAGGUCCCGAGCGUUGUCCGGAUUUAUUGGGCGUAAAGCGAGCGCAGGCGGUUAGAUAAGUCUGAAGUUAAAGGCAGUGGCUCAACCAUUGUAGGCUUUGGAAACUGUUUAACUUGAGUGCAGAAGGGGAGAGUGGAAUUCCAUGUGUAGCGGUGAAAUGCGUAGAUAUAUGGAGGAACACCGGUGGCGAAAGCGGCUCUCUGGUCUGUAACUGACGCUGAGGCUCGAAAGCGUGGGGAGCGAACAGG
This 429-nucleotide ribosomal RNA is filed under the name Bacteroidota bacterium. RNAcentral's name for it is "Bacteroidetes bacterium partial 16S ribosomal RNA". It matches the Rfam family "Bacterial small subunit ribosomal RNA", at positions 355 to 776 of the family's 1533-position model. The record is from RNAcentral. Lineage: Bacteria; Pseudomonadati; Bacteroidota.